RNAcentral lists this transfer RNA (69 nucleotides) under Pithecia hirsuta (hairy saki). Its description in RNAcentral is "tRNA-Phe". It matches the Rfam family "tRNA". Rfam says of the family: Transfer RNA (tRNA) molecules are approximately 80 nucleotides in length. Their secondary structure includes four short double-helical elements and three loops (D, anti-codon, and T loops). RNAcentral also lists the same sequence under 3 other names. The record is from RNAcentral. Lineage: Eukaryota; Metazoa; Chordata; Mammalia; Primates; Pitheciidae.
GUUAAUGUAGCUUAACACCUAAAGCAAGACACUGAAAAUGUCUAGAUGGGUAUUAUUACCCCAUAAACA